AGAGAGAGACAUGCGCGCAUAUCAAUAAGCGGAGGAAAAGAAACUAACAAGGAUUCCCCUAGUAACGGCGAGUGAAGCGGGAAGAGCUCAAAUUUGAAAUCUUAAAGGUUUCCCUUGACGAAUCGUAGUUUAAAGAAGUGUUUUCUGUUGGAGUUUUGGUAAAAGUUCUUUGGAAUAGGACAUCAUAGAGGGUGAGAAUCCCGUAUUUGACCUUUACUUUCAACUUUGUGAUACACUUUCAAAGAGUCGGAUUGUUUGGGAAUGCAGUCCAAAAUGGGUGGUAAAUUUCAUCUAAAGCUAAAUAUUGGCGAGAGACCGAUAGCGAACAAGUACCGUGAGGGAAAGAUGAAAAGAACUUUGAAAAGAGAGUUAAACAGUACGUGAAAUUGUCAAAAGGGAAGCGUUUGACACCAGUGUUGUUUUUCUGAAAAUCAAUUAAAGAACUGUUUAUGCUAAGCUGUUUAGACUUUAUCAGCUAUACUGUUUAGUUUUGAGCUUUUCUUUAAUGCACUUUUCAGCUAACAAGUCAACAUCAAUUUCUUUUGCUGUAAAAAAGCUUGAGGAAGGUGGCUUGAGAUUCGUCUUAAGUGUUUAUAGCCUCUUGCCUAUGCAGUCGGAGAGAUUGAGGUCUGCAGCGUAGAUCCUUCGGCGCUAAAUGCAUUUGUGCUAAGUUAUAACAUUUUAUAGACAACUUGUUGACUAUGAUUUGUCUUGUAGCUUACUCGCUUAUGUUAUUUUACCUACGCUUAGGAUGUUGAGCGCAUGUCUCUCUCU
This 774-nucleotide ribosomal RNA is filed under the name uncultured Neocallimastigales. RNAcentral's name for it is "partial large subunit ribosomal RNA". It matches the Rfam family "Eukaryotic large subunit ribosomal RNA", at positions 23 to 616 of the family's 3401-position model. The record is from RNAcentral. Lineage: Eukaryota; Fungi; Neocallimastigomycota; Neocallimastigomycetes; Neocallimastigales.